GACGAACGCUGGCGGCGUGCUUAACACAUGCAAGUCGAACGGAAAGGCCCUGCUUUUGUGGGGUGCUCGAGUGGCGAACGGGUGAGUAACACGUGAGUAACCUGCCCUUGACUUUGGGAUAACUUCAGGAAACUGGGGCUAAUACCGGAUAGGAGCUCCUGCUGCAUGGUGGGGGUUGGAAAGUUUCGGCGGUUGGGGAUGGACUCGCGGCUUAUCAGCUUGUUGGUUGGGUAGUGGCUUACCAAGGCUUUGACGGGUAGCCGGCCUGAGAGGGUGAGCGGCCACAUUGGGACUGAGAUACGGCACAGACUCCUACGGGAGGCAGCAGUGGGGAAUAUUGCACAAUGGGCGGAAGCCUGAUGCAGCACCGCAGCGUGCGGGAUGACGGCAUUCGGGUUGUAAACCGCUUUCGCCUGUGACGAAGCGUGAGUGACGGUAAUGGGUAAAGAAGCACCGGCUAACUACGUG
Molecule: ribosomal RNA, 468 nt
Filed under: uncultured bacterium
Lineage: Bacteria
Description: partial 16S ribosomal RNA
Rfam family: Bacterial small subunit ribosomal RNA
Source: RNAcentral